UACGAAGGGGGCUAGCGUUGUUCGGAUUCAUUGGGCGUAAAGGGUGCGUAGGCGGCGCGGUAAGUCGGGUGUGAAAUCUUGGAGCUUAACUCCGAAACUGCAUUCGAUACUGCCGUGCUUGAGGACUGGAGAGGAGACUGGAAUUUACGGUGUAGCGGUGAAAUGCGUAGAUAUCGUAAGGAAGACCAGUGGCGAAGGCGGCUCACUGGCCCGGUACUGACGCUGAGGUGCGAAAGCGUGGGGAGCAAACAGG
RNAcentral lists this ribosomal RNA (253 nucleotides) under uncultured bacterium. RNAcentral's name for it is "partial 16S ribosomal RNA". It matches the Rfam family "Bacterial small subunit ribosomal RNA", at positions 524 to 776 of the family's 1533-position model. The record is from RNAcentral.